AAUGACCGCGGAUCAGGUGAGGAU
This 24-nucleotide ribosomal RNA is filed under the name Peltigera hymenina. RNAcentral's name for it is "partial 28S ribosomal RNA". The record is from RNAcentral. Lineage: Eukaryota; Fungi; Ascomycota; Lecanoromycetes; Peltigerales; Peltigeraceae.